ACGGAGGAUGCAAGCGUUAUCCGGAUUCAUUGGGUUUAAAGGGUGCGCAGGCGGAAUGAUAAGUCAGUGGUGAAAUCCUACGGCCCAACUGUAGAACUGCCAUUGAUACUGUCAUUCUUGAGUACACUUGAAGUGGGCGGAAUGUGUCAUGUAGCAGUGAAAUGCUUAGAUAUGGCACAGAACACCGGUCGCGAAGGCAGCUCACUAAAUUGUAACCGACACUGAUGCACUAAAGCUUGGGUAUUAAACAG
Molecule: ribosomal RNA, 251 nt
Filed under: uncultured prokaryote
Description: partial 16S rRNA
Rfam family: Bacterial small subunit ribosomal RNA
Source: RNAcentral